CCUACGGGAGGCUGCAGUGGGGAAUAUUGCACAAUGGGCGCAAGCCUGAUGCAGCCAUGCCGCGUGUGUGAAGAAGGCCUUCGGGUCGUAAAGCACUUUCAGCGGGGAGGAAGGCGUUAAGGUUAAUAACCUUGUCGAUUGACGUUACCCGCAGAAGAAGCACCGGCUAACUCCGUGCCAGCAGCCGCGGUAAUACGGAGGGUGCAAGCGUUAAUCGGAAUUACUGGGCGUAAAGCGCACGCAGGCGGUCCGUCAAGUCGGAUGUGAAAUCCCCGGGCUCAACCUGGGAACUGCAUUCGAAACUGGCAGGCUAGAGUCUUGUAGAGGGGGGUAGAAUUCCAGGUGUAGCGGUGAAAUGCGGAGAGAUCUGGAGGAAUACCGGUGGCGAAGGCGGCCCCCUGGACAAAGACUGACGCUCAGGUGCGAAAGCGUGGGGAGCAAACAGGAUUAGAUACCCCAGUAGUC
RNAcentral lists this ribosomal RNA (465 nucleotides) under uncultured Klebsiella sp. Its description in RNAcentral is "bacterial SSU rRNA". It matches the Rfam family "Bacterial small subunit ribosomal RNA", at positions 338 to 795 of the family's 1533-position model. The record is from RNAcentral. Lineage: Bacteria; Pseudomonadati; Pseudomonadota; Gammaproteobacteria; Enterobacterales; Enterobacteriaceae.